AUGAACGCUGGCGGCGUGCCUAAUACAUGCCAGUCGAGCGAACAGACGAGGAGCUUGCUCCUCUGACGUUAGCGGCGGACGGGUGAAUAACACGUGGAUAACCUACCUAUAAGACUGGGAUAACUUCGGGAAACCGGAGCUAAUACCGGAUAAUAUAUUGAACCGCAUGGUUCAAUAGUGAAAGACGGUUUUGCUGUCACUUAUAGAUGGAUCCGCGCCGCAUUAGCUAGUUGGUAAGGUAACGGCUUACCAAGGCAACGAUGCGUAGCCGACCUGAGAGGGUGAUCGGCCACACUGGAACUGAGACACGGUCCAGACUCCUACGGGAGGCAGCAGUAGGGAAUCUUCCGCAAUGGGCGAAAGCUUGACGGAGCAACGCCGCGUGAGUGAUGAAGGUCUUCGGAUCGUAAAACUCUGUUAUUAGGGAAGAACAAAUGUGUAAGUAACUAUGCACGUCUUGACGGUACCUAAUCAGAAAGCCACGGCUAACUACGUG
RNAcentral lists this ribosomal RNA (496 nucleotides) under uncultured bacterium. RNAcentral's name for it is "partial 16S ribosomal RNA". It matches the Rfam family "Bacterial small subunit ribosomal RNA", at positions 29 to 507 of the family's 1533-position model. The record is from RNAcentral.